GGGGAUGUAGCUCAGUGGUAUACUGUGUGCUAAGCAAGCACAAGGCCCUGGGGUCAAUUCCUAGCACCCUCU
RNAcentral lists this transfer RNA (72 nucleotides) under Marmota marmota marmota (Alpine marmot). It matches the Rfam family "tRNA". Rfam says of the family: Transfer RNA (tRNA) molecules are approximately 80 nucleotides in length. Their secondary structure includes four short double-helical elements and three loops (D, anti-codon, and T loops). RNAcentral also lists the same sequence under 1 other name. Lineage: Eukaryota; Metazoa; Chordata; Mammalia; Rodentia; Sciuridae. The record is from Rfam by way of RNAcentral.